GAUGAACGCUGGCGGCGUGCCUAAUACAUGCAAGUCGAGCGAACAGAUGAGGAGCUUGCUCCUCUGACGUUAGCGGCGGACGGGUGAGUAACACGUGGAUAACCUACCUAUAAGACUGGGAUAACUUCGGGAAACCGGAGCUAAUACCGGAUAAUAUAUUGAACCGCAUGGUUCAAUAGUGAAAGACGGUUUUGCUGUCACUUAUAGAUGGAUCCGCGCCGCAUUAGCUAGUUGGUAAGGUAACGGCUUACCAAGGCAACGAUGCGUAGCCGACCUGAGAGGGUGAUCGGCCACACUGUAACUGAGACACGGUCCAGACUCCUACGGGAGGCAGCAGUAGGGAAUCUUCCGCAAUGGGCGAAAGCCUGACGGAGCAACGCCGCGUGAGUGAUGAAGGUCUUCGGAUCGUAAAACUCUGUUAUUAGGGAAGAACAAAUGUGUAAGUAACUAUGCACGUCUUGACGGUACCUAAUCAGAAAGCCACGGCUAACUACGUG
This 497-nucleotide ribosomal RNA is filed under the name uncultured bacterium. RNAcentral's name for it is "partial 16S ribosomal RNA". It matches the Rfam family "Bacterial small subunit ribosomal RNA", at positions 28 to 507 of the family's 1533-position model. The record is from RNAcentral.